Non-coding RNA from Caenorhabditis elegans, 21 nucleotides. NCBI's taxonomy places the organism in Eukaryota, Metazoa, Nematoda, Chromadorea, Rhabditida, Rhabditidae. The record is from Ensembl.
UGUAAAAACGAGUUGAUUAUA